GGGAAAUGGCCGUUCCAAACGCUGGUAGUCAAAUCUGCACUCAUUCAGCGAAACUCUUCAUCACAGCCAAAUGACAGCUAAAUGGUAACCAAUUCUAUGCUUGUGUGUUCAUCCUUUAGCCGUAUAGUGAUUGUCUGCAUUUGUGUUUGACAUAGCUUGUGUGACUUCCCAUAUUGGCAUAUCUGAUUCUGGCUAAACUUUAUUGACUGCGUAAAUUUAAAGCGGUCGGUUUCAGCCAGAGGC
Molecule: non-coding RNA, 243 nt
Organism: Pelobates cultripes (western spadefoot toad)
Lineage: Eukaryota; Metazoa; Chordata; Amphibia; Anura; Pelobatidae
Source: the annotation of a GenBank genome assembly